This 356-nucleotide non-coding RNA is filed under the name Penicillium italicum. Its description in RNAcentral is "Eukaryotic large subunit ribosomal RNA". It matches the Rfam family "Eukaryotic large subunit ribosomal RNA", at positions 1 to 353 of the family's 3401-position model. The record is from Rfam by way of RNAcentral. Lineage: Eukaryota; Fungi; Ascomycota; Eurotiomycetes; Eurotiales; Aspergillaceae.
UGACCUCGGAUCAGGUAGGGAUACCCGCUGAACUUAAGCAUAUCAAUAAGCGGAGGAAAAGAAACCAACAGGGAUUGCCCCAGUAACGGCGAGUGAAGCGGCAAGAGCUCAAAUUUGAAAGCUGGCUCCUUCGGGGUCCGCAUUGUAAUUUGCAGAGGAUGCUUCGGGAGCGGUCCCCAUCUAAGUGCCCUGGAACGGGACGUCAUAGAGGGUGAGAAUCCCGUAUGGGAUGGGGUGUCCGCGCCCGUGUGAAGCUCCUUCGACGAGUCGAGUUGUUUGGGAAUGCAGCUCUAAAUGGGUGGUAAAUUUCAUCUAAAGCUAAAUAUUGGCCGGAGACCGAUAGCGCACAAGUAGAG